Molecule: ribosomal RNA, 253 nt
Filed under: uncultured bacterium
Lineage: Bacteria
Description: partial 16S ribosomal RNA
Rfam family: Bacterial small subunit ribosomal RNA
Source: RNAcentral
GACGAGCCACACGAACGUUAUUCGGAAUUACUGGGCUUAAAGGGUGCGUAGGCUGCGCGGAAAGUUGGGUGUGAAAUCCCUCGGCUCAACCGUGGAACUGCGCCCAAAACUGCCGUGCUCGAGGAAGAUAGAGGUAAGCGGAACUUACGGUGGAGCGGUGAAAUGCGUUGAUAUCGUAAGGAACACCUGUGGCGAAAGCGGCUUACUGGGUCUUUUCUGACGCUGAUGCACGAAAGCUAGGGGAGCAAACGGG